GAUGAACGCUGGCGGCGUGCUUAACACAUGCAAGUCGAACGGAAAGGCCAGUGCUUGCACUGGUACUCGAGUGGCGAACGGGUGAGUAACACGUGGGUGAUCUGCCCUGCACUUCGGGAUAAGCCUGGGAAACUGGGUCUAAUACCGGAUAGGACAAUGGUUUGGAUGCCGUUGUGGAAAGUUUUUUCGGUGUGGGGUGAGCUCGCGGCCUAUCAGCUUGUUGGUGGGGUAGUGUCCUACCAAGGCGUCGAGGGGUAGCCGGUCAGAGAGGGUGUACGGACACUGGGGGACAGAGACGGGGCACAGACUCAUGCGGGGGAGAAGAGGGGGAAAUAUUACACAGGGGGCGAGCGUGAGACGGAGAAGCGGCGUGGGGGGGGAGGGGGUCCGGGGGGUGUAAACCGCUUGCGAGUGACAAGGCGCGUUUGUGACGGUACCUGGAGAAGAAGCACCGGCUAACUACGUG
This 466-nucleotide ribosomal RNA is filed under the name uncultured bacterium. RNAcentral describes it as "partial 16S ribosomal RNA". It matches the Rfam family "Bacterial small subunit ribosomal RNA", at positions 28 to 507 of the family's 1533-position model. The record is from RNAcentral.